GACGUAGGGGGCGAGCGUUGUUCGGAAUUACUGGGCGUAAAGGGCGCGUAGGCGGCCUUCUAAGUCGAACGUGAAAUCCCUGGGCUUAACCCAGGAACUGCGUCCGAGACUGGGAGGCUUGAAUCCGGGAGAGGGAUGCGGAAUUCCAGGUGUAGCGGUGAAAUGCGUAGAUAUCUGGAGGAACACCGGUGGCGAAAGCGACUGUCUGGGGUGCAUGUGACGCUGAGGCGCGAAAGCCAGGGGAGCGAACGGG
This 253-nucleotide ribosomal RNA is filed under the name uncultured bacterium. Its description in RNAcentral is "partial 16S ribosomal RNA". It matches the Rfam family "Bacterial small subunit ribosomal RNA", at positions 524 to 776 of the family's 1533-position model. The record is from RNAcentral.